RNAcentral lists this ribosomal RNA (395 nucleotides) under uncultured bacterium. Its description in RNAcentral is "bacterial SSU rRNA". It matches the Rfam family "Bacterial small subunit ribosomal RNA", at positions 505 to 898 of the family's 1533-position model. The record is from RNAcentral.
GUGUCAGCAGCCGCGGUAAUACAGAGGGUGCGAGCGUUGUCCGGAAUCACUGGGCGUAAAGGGCGCGUAGGCGGCUUGGUAAGUAGGGGGUGAAAUCUCAUGGCUUAACUGUGAGGCUGCCUUCUAGACUGCUGAGCUGGAGCACAGUAGAGGCGAGUGGAAUUCCCGGUGUAGCGGUGGAAUGCGUAGAGAUCGGGAAGAACAUCGGUGGCGAAGGCGGCUCGCUGGGCUGUUGCUGACGCUGAGGCGCGAAAGCGUGGGGAGCAAACAGGAUUAGAUACCCUGGUAGUCCACGCUGUAAACGAUGGGUGCUAGGCGUCGGGGGGAGCGACCCCUUCGGUGCCGUCGCUAACGCAAUAAGCACCCCGCCUGGGGAGUACGGUCGCAAGACUGAA